This is a long non-coding RNA of Prionailurus viverrinus (fishing cat), 3115 nucleotides long. RefSeq lists it as uncharacterized. NCBI's taxonomy places the organism in Eukaryota, Metazoa, Chordata, Mammalia, Carnivora, Felidae. The transcript has 3 exons. The record is from RefSeq and is a predicted model, not a curated record.
GCGAGGGCGCGCGGCGCGGCCCUGGGCUUGGGGGAAAGCGGCCACCAGGGCUGGCCUCCGCGGCUCCGCGCCUCUCCCCCGGCCUCUCCUGCCCCGCGGCGUCCAACCUGCGCCGCCAGGGCCCCGCGGACCUGCCAGCCCGAGGCCAAGAGUGGAAUUGCCCUGCCGCUUUCCCGGGCUUGGCGGAGGGGAUCCCGGCGGGGAGCUCGGCGCUCGCGAUGGCGAUGCGCAGCGAGGAAAGGCGAGGAGCUGCGUGCGGGCUGGGUGCCCUCGGAGCGCCGGGAGGCGGGGAGCGCCCGCCGCCGGGCCGGGGGAUGCUGCCGCUUGGGAACCCCCGCGGCGAAGUCCCUCCAUCUCCGCGGGGCUCCAGCACAGAGGUCGGGGCUGCAGGCCCUUUGGCCUUGGAUGGAAAGUGGGAAAUGGGGCGCGGGGCUGCGGACCCCCUAACGUGGAUUACUUGGUGCGUGUCAGCCGGGCUCAGAAGACCCACGACCUCGUCUCCAUCCUCGGAUUGAUUCAUUCCACCUGGCAGUCGGGCCGCUUUACCUGGAGGUGAAACCAGACGUUUGAGGCUGGCCUGCGUAGGUGCUCCGAACCAAGAGAGAAGGGCAAGACACAAAGGCCUGGAGAGGAGGGGCGGCUAAGGGCUGCUCUUCCUUGCCCACACGUCCCGCCAGGAAGCCGGGCGGGGCUGGCGUGUGCCGCCAGGAUCCCCGGGAAGGACCCGGCUAAGAUGGGACCAUCUCCUAAGAGGCAAGCGCUCUGGAUCUGAUUAAGACUUCCUCUUCUGGAGAAUGAAGAACGUUCUAGAUUGGAGAGGACAUUGGAGGAGAAAGUAAAGACUCGUGCACUGAGGAGUAGUCUGUGUCUGGACCCGCGUGAGCCGGACGUGACCUGCAUAUAGCUGGCGAGACACCAUCGUCACAGACCUCGUCCUUCCUUCUUGUGGGAGACAUUCCCUGUACCGUCGCCUGGUCUUAAGACUCCGCCCCCCGCUCCGCGCCCCAACCCCCGGGAACCACAGGGCUUUCUACCGCACCCUUUGUCUUGCCCCCCGGCUCCCCCGUCUUCUGUGCCUUUGGACGCAGUCAUUCUUGUUUGCUCCAUUAUCCUCCAGCCGGAUACAGAGUGAAUAGUUAACUACACUUAGGUCAAAUGGGAUUUUAAUUUUCGUUCCUGUUCCUUCUAAAGCGGCCGGUGUUUGCGUUGCUCUGUGAGCAACAUUGGAAUAGCACGUCCUCUCCCUUAUUUGGGAUCUGGCCCCCUGGGGUUCCAGAGCGAGGCAGGUGAGUGCUGAAGUUCUUCAGGGCUCUCCAGUGUCAGGGACACCGGAGGGGCUCCUGCAGGGGAGCUGGCUCAGGACGGCUGGCGUCCUCCGUGUCCAGCUUCUUUCGUUCAGAUCACAUGCAGGUGUAUGUCUGGAAGAGUGAAAAAGACGAUUUGUUCAUCCCAGCUACCUUCUACCUUUUUUAAACUGUAUUUUUGACAUAUAACUGACAUACUGUUAUGCUUGUUUCCCACCUGUCUUCUGUUGAGGCAGAUGCACCGCCCGCUAUGAAGACCCUCUCCCCCCCCCCCCCCCCCCCCACCUCGCAGGUGGCAGUUGGGACCCAUGCCAGAACAUGGUGCUUCCUUACAGACAAUCUGGCUGCCAGAGCUGGUGUGUUUAUUGAGGAUCCUCGUCCCCCAGAAUGCCGAUGACACUCCUGACGGCAGGUUGGGCCCCGUGAAACACGAGUCAAAUAUUCUGUCACCACCGUGCGCGUGGCUGAAAGCACUUCUAGAUUCGAUCUUGUCUGCGUUGCAGAGCCAACGAUGUCUGCACGUCCUGCUUCCCCAAAAAAUGGAUGGCUCAUUUUUGUAGAAAGAAUUAAAGCUGUACAUAUCCACCUUCUCUAUGUUGUAGGUGAUGGGUUUCUGUGACCGUUUAGUGACUUUGGUGUCUUCUAAGGGGAACAACGGGGACCUUCUUGGCAUCUCAGAUUCACCACAAAAUGAGGGAGGGGACCCUCUUGAGGAAAUUUCAUGCUGUUGAAAUGUGAAGCUUGUCUGUGGGCUUUGCCUUCCUUCCUUGACAUGCACACAGACUCCUCGUCCUGGUUAGAUUCCUUCAGGUUUCAAGGAACAGAGAUCCACUUACAUCACUUCCGUGAAUGAGGGUUUAUUCCAAGUUGCAUUGGAAUGGAAGUAAGGUAGACAGGAAACAGUCUACCCAGCAGCUGCCUGGCAAGACGUGUCUAGAAGCCCAAAGUCAUUCAAGAUAUCCAUUCGCUACAGAGUUUCCAGGAAGAGCAGGAACUCUGACACCUUGGUCAUUUUGACCUUCUGUUCAGCAGCAGGAAUCACUGCUCCUGCUUCUCGCAUUCGGAGCUGUUCCAGUUUGCCCAGGGCUGAGCAGUUUUCCGGGACACACGACUUUCAGCAAUAAACCUGGGACAGCCCUGGGCAAACCAGAAUAACCGUCACCCUAGUGGGUGACUUGAUGACACUGCCUUUGCUGCUGCUUUGCCUGCUGUAGCGAGCCGAUGCUCUCGAUUAGUCUGGCCAGCUGCCAUUCGGAACCCUUGUGUCUGACCACGUCAUUGACCACCGGGUAGGCUACAGAUGGAUGCCAUUGGAUCAAGCACCAAUCUUGACCAAAUCUGGUGUUUCCAGGGUGGUGGGGUUCCAUGAUACUGAACAAAAACCUGGGUGUCAUGAACCAGUCGAGACCACAUGCUUCAGAAGAAGUGCUGUGGGUAGUGGAUAUGGCAGCCAUUCAAAGUAUCAGGGAUUCCUCUCCAAUACAGUCCUACUUAAAAAGAUGAACCUAACCCUUCAUAUUAAGAACAAAGCAAAUCAGUAGGAAACAAAAACAGCUACCGGGAACAGGAGAAAACAGACUACGAUGUGUGCAUGCGCAUGCGUGUGAGAUACACGCACAUACCACAUAGAAUAAGCCAAGAAGAAAAUUAUGCAUCUUUGCAAGAUGGAGGCUAAGAGCUAAUAAUCAUUGGGAUGGAUGGGGCACCUGGGUGGCUCAGUCGGUUGAGCAUCCGACUUCGGCUCUGGUCACAAUCUUGCUCGUGGGUUCAAGCCUUGCGUCAGGCUCUGUGCUGAUGGCUCAGAGCCUGGA